CCGAAGAGUUCCUUCAUUAGACUUCCUCCAUUUUCUCAUACGGUUGAAAAACAAUGUUUUACGUACUUAUUUUCUUCUGUUUAUGGCAUCUGGUUGAUUCAGAUGAAAUGAAGAUGUCAGUGAUGGAGGGAGAUUCUGUUACUCUACACACUAGUGUUACUGGUAUACGCACACAAAAUAUAAGUUACAUACAGUGGACGUUUGGACCUGAAAAAACAUUAAUAGCCAUACAAUUUAAUAAGGGGGUACCUGUAAUUAAUUAUUUCAAUGCUGAGAGAUUUAGAGACAGACUUAAGAUCGACCACCAAACUGGAUCUCUGGCUAUCAGGAACAUCAGAACCACAGACUCUGGACUUUAUGAGCUACAGAUGAUAAAAUACAUAUCGUUUUUUUUCAAUGUUACUGUCUAUGCUUGUCUGCCCGUUCCUGUUAUCAUCAGAAACUCUUCAAACUGCUCAUCCUCAUCUUCAGGAUCGUCAAGUCAGAAUUGUUCUUUGCUGUGUUCAGUGUUGAAUGUGAGUCAUGUGACUCUCUCCUGGUACAAAGGAAACAGUUUAUUGACCAGCAUUAGUGUGUCUGAUCUCAUCAGCAGCAUUUCUCUACCUCUGGAGGUGGAAUAUCAGGAUAAAAACACUUACAGUUGUGUGCUGAACAAUCCCAUCAGCAACCAGACUCAACAUCUGGACAUUAGUCGGUUUUGUCAGACACGUGGAGGUGCGUCAAGAUACUCUGUUCACUGUUGCGGUUUCAUUGAGGCUGUGAUUCGACUGGUCAUCUCUGCUGUGGUGGGCGUGGCUACUGUUGCCAUAGUGGUUUAUGACAUCAAAUCCAGAAAAGCUGAGAGAAGUGCAGAACAUCACAAUCAGUCCCUAAAUGAUGGUUAUGAAAAUCCUGGAGAUAAAGAAUUUAACAAUCACUGGACUAGAAAUUAAUUCAGUCUUGAUGAAAUUUAAAUAUAAAUAUUUUCUGCUGUAAAAAUGUUUCAUUAUUGAUCUUUCAUGGAGUAAAACGUACUUGCAAGUCAUACAGUUCAACUGGUGACUAAGCUGUUCUUUUGAGUCGGUUUUUUUUAAUGAAUCAGUCAAAUGGUUCACAAAGCGCUCAUGACGAUUCCUUAAUUAGUCUGAAUUAAAAUUAUUCUUACCCUAUAGCCAAACUAUUGGAAAAGCCAGCAGAUUGUUGAAGGGUUUCCUGGAGAUAAUUGUAUAUGCUCAAAUGCUAACAUAUUAAAUAAUAUUAAAGAAUCUGUAUCCCUGUGAUAAUGGAAAUCAAAGGAUAUGACGAUUCUGGUUGUCUUGUACAGCUGUGCCAUCUACUGGUUUCUUCUUAGAUAACAGGAUUUCAUGGUUAAUGUACUACUGAAAGGCAUUGUUCUGCUAAUUUAUGCUGUCUGAACCACAGAAAAAAACGUGUUGAGGCUGCUAAAUCAUAUAGAGAGAAGGACUUAGUAAGCAGGAAGAGGUGCAAUAUUUUAACUAAAGUUAAUAGGUGGUAAAGAUAUGUAUGAGCAGUAUUAAUUAAGAUAUCACCUACCUGAUGAUGAAAACUAAUACAAAUGUUGUCAAGUUUACUGCCCUUGAAAUCCUGGUUCAGUUUGGCCAACCACAAACUCCUUUUGUUUCUCAGACUUUUUUUUGUUUUUUUUUUUGUUUUGCACUCUUCCUUGAUUUGUUAUAACUUUUGGCAGUCUAUAGUACUCCAAAUGUUUUUUUUUCUGGUCUGACCGAUUAGUACAGUCUAAAACAUGAUAAUAAUUAACCAUUUUCAGCAGCAAUAAUCAGCAAAAUAAGCGAGUUUACUUUGCUUCAGUGGCGUUGUUUACAUUCAGUGAGGCCCACUGAUAACGCAUUGAGAAAACUAUAUUCAAACACGCAACUUUCAACCCUCUCUCUCUCAAAAUUGCAUCACUGGAUAUAUCUGUCAAUCAUUUUACGUUUCUACUGUAAAACAGCUGACUAAUAUUCAAAGAUUUUCAACUAACAUCUUACAUCGCUCUUUCGACGAUUUGUCCUGGGAUUCGCGCUCUUUUCCCUGAACAGUAAACCCCGCCCACUAUGAUUUGAUUGGUCAUCUCAGUUAUUCUGACGUUGAUGAGCGCUAUUAUAUUGUUUUUAUUUUCUCGUUUACUUACUGAGCCUCUCAUCAAUCGUGUUGUGCACCAAGUUAUUCACACGUACUUAAAAACUGACAAAAAUGUUGUUUUUUUGCUGUUUGUAUUAGCCGAUCUAGUAAGACUAUAGACUGUAAAAAACAUGGACGUAGUGUCCGUGACGUCACCCGUAGGUUUCCGAAGAGCAUUUUUGAAGCUCUUAGUGGGCGGGAGUCGGCCGUCGCCAUCUUGGAAUCGCGUCACUGUACGUCACUCCCGGAUAAUCGAAAAUGGGCACAUAGGCGGGACGUGGGUGGAGCUGGUUGCUGAAACCACGCCCGCCGAGCGCGACGGUGGUGACAGCAGCGGCAAUCCACCUGUCACUCAAGUGACCACGCCCUAAAUUAUGCAGAACUUUAAGGCUUAAUAUAAAUUAAACGGAUGAGUUAUAAAAAAAUUCACUCCCCUCAGAGUUGACAUGAAGGGCAAAAUUAGCUAUAUAGACCAAAACCACUUUUUGAACCAGGCUGUAAACAUAUUCUUUUCUGCUGUGAAGUUGGGCAUUUUAACAUGGGGAGUCUAUGGGAUUGACUCCCUUUUGCAGCCAGCCUCAAGCGGCCAGUCGAUGAAUUGCAGUUUUAGUCACUUCCGUGUUGGCUUCAAGAGGGAGAGCGGGAGGUUGCCACUUGAGUAAGACCUAAGAGAUAUUGAGCAACGGGACAAGCUGUUCUUCUUAUUGACUUCCUCCAUUAUCUCAUGCGGUUGAAAAAAUGUUUUGUGCUUUAAUUUUCUUAUGUUUCUUGCAUCUGGUUGAUGCUGUGAAGAUAGUGUCAGUGACAGAGGGAGAGUCUGUCACUCUACACACCAAUAUACCGAGACAUGAAGAUGGUUUACAUAGAUUUUAUAUAUAUUCUCUUCAGUGGAGUUGGUUUAGACCUGAAGAUUCUCAACGCGUUAGAGUCAUUUGGUUUGAUGUGCGGAGAAGUCAUAUUAGAUAUGAUCAUGAUGAGAUAUUCAGAGACAGACUACAGAUAGACAACCAAACUGGAUCUCUGACCAUCAAGAACAUCAGAACCACAGACUCUGGACUUUAUCAAAUGAUCAACAAUCACCUAUCAGUAGAAUCAUUCAAUGUUACAGUCUAUGCUCAUCUUCCCAUUCCUGUCAUCACCAGAUACUCUACAUGUUCUUCAUCAUCAGGAUCAUCAAACCAGAAAUGUUCAUUGGUGUGUUCUGUGUUGAAUGUGAGUCAUGUGACUCUCUCCUGGUACAAAGGAAACAGUUUAUUGUCCAACAUCAGUGUGUCUGAUCUCAAAAACAGUACAUCUCUACCUCUGGACGUGGAGUAUCAGGAUAAAAACACUUACAGUUGUAUAGUAAACAAUCCCAUCAGCAACCAGACCAAACAUCUGAAUAUUAGUGAACUCUGCCAGACAUGUGCAGAUGCUGUGAAGAUAGUGUCAGUGACAGAGGGAGAGUCUGUCACUCUACACACCAAUAUACCAAGACAUGAAGAUGGUUUACAUAGAUUUUAUAUAUAUUCUCUUCAGUGGAGUUGGUUUAGACCUGAAGAUUCUCAACGCGUUAGAGUCAUUUGGUUUGAUGUGCAGAGAGGUCAUAUUAGAUAUGAUCAUGAUGAGAUAUUCAGAGACAGACUACAGAUAGACAACCAAACUGGAUCUCUGACCAUCAAGAACAUCAGAACCACAGACUCUGGACUUUAUCAAAUGAUCAACAAUCACCUAUCAGUAGAAUCAUUCAAUGUUACAGUCUAUGACUCUGUUUAGUGUUACAGUUUCACUGAAGCUGUGAUUCGACUGGUCAUCUCUGCUGUGGUGGGAGUGACUGCUGUUGCAAUAGUGAUUUAUGACAUCAGAUCCAGAAGAGCUGAGCAGCUAAGCAAAGAGAAAACAUGAGAAUAUAGACUCUUUUCCAUUCUUUUCUUUAUGUUAUUUUGAAAAUCUCUGAAAAACACAGAAAACAUUUCCUUGUGAUUACGCUUAUAUAAACUUUAUAAUUCUUGCGCUAUAAUUUCUACCACCAAACAAAUGUUUAAGUUCUGCUUUCUUGGUCUUUUUUCCCCAUUUAAAAUUGGGCAAUAUUAGAAGUUUAUAAAGAUGGACUGCAAAUUUCUGUUCUCUAUGAUACUAAAAUAAAAUGUAAAUAAUAUUAA
RNA transcript from Labeo rohita (rohu), 4262 nucleotides. It is a transcript of the gene named SLAM family member 9-like, with no coding region annotated. The transcript is spliced from 8 exons. The record is from RefSeq and is a predicted model, not a curated record. NCBI's taxonomy places the organism in Eukaryota, Metazoa, Chordata, Actinopteri, Cypriniformes, Cyprinidae.